This 233-nucleotide ribosomal RNA is filed under the name Bacillus toyonensis. Its description in RNAcentral is "partial 16S ribosomal RNA". It matches the Rfam family "Bacterial small subunit ribosomal RNA", at positions 1 to 222 of the family's 1533-position model. Lineage: Bacteria; Bacillati; Bacillota; Bacilli; Caryophanales; Bacillaceae. The record is from RNAcentral.
UUAUUGGAGAGUUUGAUCCUGGCUCAGGAUGAACGCUGGCGGCGUGCCUAAUACAUGCAAGUCGAGCGAAUGGAUUGAGAGCUUGCUCUCAAGAAGUUAGCGGCGGACGGGUGAGUAACACGUGGGUAACCUGCCCAUAAGACUGGGAUAACUCCGGGAAACCGGGGCUAAUACCGGAUAACAUUUUGAACUGCAUAGUUCGAAAUUGAAAGGCGGCUUCGGCUGUCACUUAU